UGUUAAAAAUUUCAUCCAUUUGUACUAUUAAAAAUCGGCAUGUCUGACGAAAUAGUUUGACUAUGACACAUGAUGUGCCAUGUGCAUCCCAUGCUGAGGUGCAGUCAGUUUUUAACUGUAGAAAUGGAUAUAAUUUUUAAUA
Molecule: non-coding RNA, 142 nt
Organism: Gossypium hirsutum (cotton)
Lineage: Eukaryota; Viridiplantae; Streptophyta; Magnoliopsida; Malvales; Malvaceae
Source: Rfam